RNAcentral lists this ribosomal RNA (429 nucleotides) under Gemmatimonadota bacterium. RNAcentral describes it as "Gemmatimonadetes bacterium partial 16S ribosomal RNA". It matches the Rfam family "Bacterial small subunit ribosomal RNA", at positions 355 to 776 of the family's 1533-position model. The record is from RNAcentral. Lineage: Bacteria; Pseudomonadati; Gemmatimonadota.
UAGGGAAUCUUCGGCAAUGGACGAAAGUCUGACCGAGCAACGCCGCGUGAGUGAAGAAGGUUUUCGGAUCGUAAAACUCUGUUGUUAGAGAAGAACAAGGACGUUAGUAACUGAACGUCCCCUGACGGUAUCUAACCAGAAAGCCACGGCUAACUACGUGCCAGCAGCCGCGGUAAUACGUAGGUGGCAAGCGUUGUCCGGAUUUAUUGGGCGUAAAGCGAGCGCGGGCGGUUUCUUAAGUCUGAUGUGAAAGCCCCCGGCUCAACCGGGGAGGGUCAUUGGAAACUGGGAGACUUGAGUGCAGAAGAGGAGAGUGGAAUUCCAUGUGUAGCGGUGAAAUGCGUAGAUAUAUGGAGGAACACCAGUGGCGAAGGCGGCUCUCUGGUCUGUAACUGACGCUGAGGCUCGAAAGCGUGGGGAGCAAACAGG